UGCUAUGCUAGUUAUAACACGUGUUUUUGUUUCAUUCCCCACACACUGUAAGGUGGGCAUCGCUGGGCCCAUCACACAGGUGAAACGGAAGCCUGGAGAUCACUCAUCACCUUGUCCAGUCAUAUAACUAGUAGCCAAGGCAGAAUUUGAACUGAGGUUGCCCUCAGUUCCAAAACCUGUGUACUUAACCCGUGUUCUCUCCUGCUGGUGUCUGUGUGAUGCCCCAUGUCUGUCUCUCUCUAAAGGGACAGUGACACACCAACAGGAUACCUAGAUGCUGGGGGGCCUUGGGACAGAGUCUGAGAGGAUUGAGUAAAGGAGCAGCUGAGGGUGAGCCUGGAGAGAAUGCCCCCUGGUGGAGAGUUUAGGUAGAAGGGGGAUUAGGUCUCCGGGAGGAACCAGAUCUAUGUGGUCUGCUGAGGUGACUGGGUCUGGCAUUCACAUGUGCCACCCAACAGAACAGACCCUGGAGGGAUGCCCCCUUGCUGGGGGGCAGCCGUGGGAUUCCGGGGUCUGCCUUGGAGGUCCUGGAGAGGAUGUCAUGGCCCUGGCCCUAGAUUCAAGCUGCCUGGGUCCAGUUCAGCCCGGCCACUCCUGCUGUGGGCCCUAGCCAGGGGCCUCCACACCACCGAGUGCUGUGUGUUGGGUGUGUGGUGUUACCCAGGCUGUGUGCUUAGCCGUGUGCCUGACAGCCAGUGCUGAUGUCAGCCAUUACAGGGACACACGUGCCUGGAGGUUGAGGCCACGUUCUGUCACCUGGGCCCACUCAUGUGGUCCUCGGCUGGGCCAACCCCCACUUUGAAAGGAUUCCUUUUUGCCCCUGGUGUAGACUCUCAUUGUCCGAGUGAACAGCUACAUCUUUUUAACAAGCCAGAAAAGGCCAGCUGGCAGUGACUCUGCCUGUAAUCCCAACACUGGGUGGCCGAAGCAGGAGGAUCACUUGAGGCUAGCCCGGCCAACGUAAGCAAGACUCUGUCUCUACCAAAAAAAAAACAAAGAACAAAAAAGACCAACCAGCCACAGCCACAGAUAGACCUGGGGUUCACAGGGGGCCUGGGGACCCUGAGCGGCGUCAGGUGUCAUCCUUCGCCCUGGCUCUCUCUGGAGACUCACGCAGUGGCCCCGACUACAGGAAUCUUUAAGAUGAGAUGCAAAUAGUGACUCCCCCUUUGGCCCCCUCCCCUGUACAGGACACUCAAGUCU
Molecule: long non-coding RNA, 1203 nt
Filed under: Macaca fascicularis (crab-eating macaque)
Lineage: Eukaryota; Metazoa; Chordata; Mammalia; Primates; Cercopithecidae
Description: lncRNA (ENSMFAG00000065844.1)
Source: RNAcentral